AUCUAGCUGUCGAGUACCAAAUAGGACGAAACGCGCGUCCUGGAU
Schistosoma mansoni is the source of this 45-nucleotide non-coding RNA. The record is from Rfam. Lineage: Eukaryota; Metazoa; Platyhelminthes; Trematoda; Strigeidida; Schistosomatidae.